AAAGAUUGCCUUGUCCACCAGAGUGACACAGAGAUUAGUGGUGGUCUCUGUCAUCCCAAAGAGAUCCUACAUGUUCAGGGUAUUUCUCAUUGGGCACCUGCUAGCAUUGGACCAUGUAGUCAGUCUAUCAAGUUGGGUGAACCAUGCCACAUAGUCGGGAGAGUCUUUUGGGGAUUUGAAGGCCAACAUGGGUACAGAAAAGAUAAAACCAGGUCAGCACUCGAGGACAAAGACCAGAAGCAGCUUGGUGAAUUACCACUACUCAGUAUGGACAGAGCAAAUGCAGAGCCUGGCACCAGCCAAGAUGCAAAGCUGAGUCAACUGGCUCAUCCUCUCUACCUUCUGUGAGUUCAGCUCUAGGCCCUCUUUUCAUGCCAUACUUCCUUCGAGGUCUAUUUCUGUGUCGUGAGGCCAGGAGCCUGAAAAAAUAACGAAAACGAGUCCCUGUCACAGCUGAACCAGUUCCAUGAUCAUAUUAGUCCUACCAGUGCGGGCGGAAACACAGAUCAUAUUGAUGUCCUGAGGCCCAGUGCAUCUGGAAACAGAAAAGGAUACUCUGAAGGAAUUGAGAGGCUUUCUGAAUGGAUUGCCUGAGGUCAGAGGCUGAAAAAUAAGAACCAGAAGACAACACAGUUGUUAUAAAAGAACUCUCCUCUUGAGAUAGGGAAGGAGAAAAAAAGGAACUAGGGAAAAUAAAUGAAAAUUAAUAUCUGAAUUUUCAUCAGAGCUGACGUGAGUUGUGAAACCAUUGGACAAAACUGCUUCAUUUAUUCAAAAGUCACAGGGGAAAAAAUGUUUUAUAUAAGUGAAGUAUUAAGAUUACUUAUGUUAUUAAAUAUUUUGAAUAAAAAUCUUUCUAAAAUAUAUUUCACUUUAUCCUGCAUGUUAAAAGGAAUAUACAGAAGCAGAUUUUAUGUGUUCUUAAAGAUUGUCACAUUAUGAACAUUAAUUAUUUUACUCUAGGGUAGUAAUUCUCCCUAAGGCUAUAGAGGUUCUUAGGACUAUUUAUCCCUGCUUGGAUCUCUAGUAUUUGUACUUGCUUUCUGUAGUCGUCAUGUCUCCUCCCUGCCUACUAGCUGACCUGCUGUCACUUUGGUAUCAUCCAUGAGCCUGAGUCUAGUGACUCCCUCCCUGCUUCUUUCCAAUUUAUGGCAUCUACCUUAUCUUAGGCAGGAAAACCAGACAAGAAGCUUGGUGUAACCAUAGCCAUAACCGAAGUGAAUUUUGAGAAGACAUCUGAGGAACUAAGAUCAUGUGAGCUUAAGCAUGUGGCUGUUUUAGGACCGAGAUUGGCUGCUCAUUGACUUUAUUUUGGAGAAUAAGGUGGGAAGGAGCUUGCUUUGAGGCUCUGGACUGCAUUCUGGAUAGUAAACAUCGUGACAUUACUUAUUUCUGUAUGUCAGUUAACGUGUUUGAGAUUGUGUCUUCACUUUUACAAAUAUAAAAGGGAGCUGUAGAGCAUGUUUCAGA
This is a long non-coding RNA of Equus quagga, 1470 nucleotides long. RefSeq lists it as uncharacterized. Lineage: Eukaryota; Metazoa; Chordata; Mammalia; Perissodactyla; Equidae. The transcript has 5 exons. The record is from RefSeq and is a predicted model, not a curated record.